AUGUCGGAUGCCAAGGUCAAUGAUGCGCAAGCGGGGUAUGAAUCCGCCCUUACCAGCCUGAUGGUGGCUUUGGCCGGAGGCAAUCUGAUCCAUGAUGCGG
Non-coding RNA from Desulfobacca sp. 4484_104, 100 nucleotides. NCBI's taxonomy places the organism in Bacteria, Pseudomonadati, Thermodesulfobacteriota, Desulfobaccia, Desulfobaccales, Desulfobaccaceae. The record is from Rfam.